UCUUGCACACGGUGGAAGCUUUGUUUUUUAGCUCUUUGUAGUAAAUCUUGCUGCUGCUCGUUGUUUGGGUCCACAGUGUCUUUAUGAGCUGUAACACUCACUGCGAAGGUCUGCAGCUUCACUCCUGAGGCCAGCAAGACCACGAACCCACGGGGAGGAAUGAACAACUCCCCACGGGAGGAACGAACAACUCCCCACACCUUAAAAGCUGUAACACUCACCGGGAAGAUCUGCAGCUUCACUCUUGAAGCCAGUGAGACCACGAACCCACCAGAAGAAACUUCGAAUACGUCCGAACGUCAGAAGGAACAAACUCCAGACACACCAUCUUUAGGAACUGUAACACUCACGGAAGUAUAUGUGUCGGAAGAGGUUGCAAGCGACAACACCAGAUGGCUCCCGUAAAAGGGGUCUUUAUGGGAGAAGGGUUUUCUUGGCUGGAUGGAGUGCCCCAGCUCUGCAGAGGAAUCUACUGUCUAAUGCUCAUCUUCAUUCUUCCCAGUGGCCAUAGCUACUUCAAAGAGGCCCAAUGUGGCCAUGGAGACUAGUCUACCAUCCAGGCACAGGGGACUCUGGCAGAGAAGGACAAUGUCGAAUAAAGACAAAAUUAAUCCCGAUCUCUCCAAGUGGGCUCCUCUACUAUAAUACCUCCAGACAAAGACAUUUCAUGGUGUGAUGCUAUCCCCCCCUUCACAAUCCAGGAAGUUUUUCGUACUCAUCAGUAAUACUUCUUGCUACAGUGCAAAUCCGUUUCCUUGCCCAGAAGCAGA
This 770-nucleotide long non-coding RNA is filed under the name Homo sapiens (human). RNAcentral's name for it is "HSALNT0343503". Lineage: Eukaryota; Metazoa; Chordata; Mammalia; Primates; Hominidae. The record is from RNAcentral.